This 204-nucleotide unclassified non-coding RNA is filed under the name uncultured Mucoromycotina. RNAcentral's name for it is "sequence contains ITS1". Lineage: Eukaryota; Fungi. The record is from RNAcentral.
GAGUAUUUGAAUUUGAACCUACCUGUGUGGGUUCAAACAAAUCUGACUUUGUGGUAACAAUGAAAAAAAUAGGAUUGGGUUUAAAGAUGAUGCUUUUAAAGAAAUUUAGAGGUAUCGACCCAAGCUGCUUUUAUUCAACUCUCUUAUUAUUUGACUGAAUUUUAUCAAGUAAUCCAAUUUUUUUGGAUUAAAAAAGUUUUAAAA